GUCCACGCCGUAAACGAUGGGCACUAGGUCCUUGGGGGAGCGACCCCGUGAGGGCCGACGCUAACGCAUGAAGUGCCCCGCCUGGGGAGUACGGCCGCAAGGCUGAAACUCAAAGGAAUUGACGGGGGCCCGCACAAGCGGUGGAGCAUGUGGUUUAAUUCGACGCAACGCGAAGAACCUUACCUGGGCUUGACAUGCACGGGAACCAGUGGGGAAACCUGCUGGGCUCUUCGGAGCCCGUGUACAGGUGCUGCAUGGCUGUCGU
RNAcentral lists this ribosomal RNA (265 nucleotides) under uncultured bacterium. RNAcentral's name for it is "partial 16S ribosomal RNA". It matches the Rfam family "Bacterial small subunit ribosomal RNA", at positions 793 to 1055 of the family's 1533-position model. The record is from RNAcentral.